Oncorhynchus tshawytscha (Chinook salmon) is the source of this 4113-nucleotide long non-coding RNA. The record is from Ensembl. NCBI's taxonomy places the organism in Eukaryota, Metazoa, Chordata, Actinopteri, Salmoniformes, Salmonidae.
AUUCCAUGCUGUCUGUCAGUUGGUUCUUCUUCUCUGGUUUUGGAAGCAGCGUAGAGUAUAAACCAACACAUUCCAUGCUGUCUGUCAGUUGGUUCUUCUUCUCUGGUUUUGGAAGCAGCGUAGAGUAUAAACCAACACAUUCCAUGCUGUCUGUCAGUUGGUUCUUCUUCUCUGGUUUUGGAAGCAGCGUAGAGUAUACACCAACACAUUCCAUGCUGUCUGUCAGUUGGUUCUUCUUCUCUGGUUUUGGAAGCAGCGUAGAGUAUACACCAACACAUUCCAUGCUGUCUGUCAGUUGGUUCUUCUUCUCUGGUUUUGGAAGCAGCGUAGAGUAUACACCAACACAUUCCAUGCUGUAUGUCAGUUGGUUCUUCUUCUCUGGUUUUGGAAGCAGCGUAGAGUAUACACCAACACAUUCCAUGCCGUCUGUCAGUUGGUUCUUCUUCUCUGGUUUUGGAAGCAGCGUAGAGUAUACACCACCACAUUCCAUGCUGUCUGUCAGUUGGUUCUUCUUCUCUGGUUUUGGAAGCAGGGUAGAGUAUACACCAACACAUUCCAUGCUGUCUGUCAGUUGGUUCUUCUUCUCUGGUUUUGGAAGCAGCGUAGAGUAUACACCAACACAUUCCAUGCGGUCUGUCAGUUGGUUCUUCUUCUCUGGUUUUGGAAGCAGCGUAGAGUAUACACCAACACAUUCCAUGCUGUCUGUCAGUUGGUUGUCUCUCUCAAAAAAGGUGUUGAACACAAGCAGAUCUGGGAUCCAGGCUACCAACCUGCCUUGUGCUUCCUGCUGUCUAACACUUCAUGAUAGACGGACCGACGCUUCAUUAAUUCUACUCUGUCCACCAGCACAGCAUUUAAACUGCUUUUAUUUUGACAAACAAACGGGGCACUGAGCCUGGGGGACGAGGUGUCGUCUCUAGUCACUGAGCCUGGGGAUGAGGUGUUGUCUCUAGUCACUGAGCCUGGGGAUGAGGUGUUGUCUCUAGUCACCGAGCCUGGGGAUGAGGUGUUGUCUCUAGUCACUGAGCCUGGGGAUGAGGUGUCAUCUCUAGUCACCGAGCCUGGGGGACGAGGUGUCGUCUCUAGUCACUGAGCCUGGGGAUGAGGUGUCGUCUCUAGUCACUGAGCUUGGGGAUGAGGUUAGUGGAGGUGUUAUGCAAUCAUGAAGCGGGUUUUACCAACAUCAAAAGCUUUGGUUUCUGUUCAUCUGUUGGCUCUACUUUACAUAGACACCUUAUGCAACCAUGGAUUUAUACAGGAAGUCUUCCAUAGACCUACCAAUUCUUAGCCUGGCCCCAGAUCUGUUUCUACUGUCUAGCCAAAUCCUAAAUAGUGUUUGACAUGACAAUGACCAUAAGAGUUGGAUAUACAAACUAAUCUGAGUAUAGGCUAACAAAGCCCUACUCUGUGAACUAACUGGAGUCUGGUGGGCGUAUGGGGUGGACGGGUGGGCGUAUGGGGUGGUUGUUUGGGCGUAUAAAGCAAACGUCUUGGAACCAUUGCGACUUUGCAACUACUUAACAUGUUAGCUAACCCUUCCUCUAAAAUCAAAUCAAAAAAUCUAAUUUAUUUAUAAAAUCAAAUGUAUUUAUAUAGCCCUUCGUACAUCAGCUGAUAUCUCAAAGUGCUGUACAGAAACCCAGCCUAAAGCCCCAAACAGCAAGCAAUGCAGGUGUAGAAGCUCUAAUCUUAACAUGUUAGCUAACCCUUCCCCUUUAACGUAACUCCUAAACUAACUGUCAGCCAUCUAACUAGAAUUCGUAACAUAUCAUACGUUUUACAAAUUUGUUACAAUAUUGUACGUUUGGCAAAUUCGUAACAUACAAAAUGAAUACAUACGAAACAUAACAUAUCAUACCAAAUGGAGUGUCUCGGAUUUACAUAUAGAAUACUAGGAAAUGAUCUGAGACCAGGUUAUGGAACAAGGUACUAGACUAUCUUCAGACCAGGGCAGACCAGGGACUAUGAAAUACUCCCCCCACCGUUAACAAGCGCAUUACACUCUAUUUCGUCAUCCAGAUAAGGUCAGUGUAUGAAUUGAUAUUUAUCACUGUACCAUGCUUGUUCAGUGUUAUUUAUUACAUUUUUAAAAACUAACUGGCAACAAGUUAAAAAUUAUUAGUAUUUUUAAGAUGCUCAUUGAAAUAUUUAGCAAAUCACUAAGGAUCAAGGUUCAUUUGUGUACUUGUGUUAAUAUUUGCAACUACUGCACCAAGCUAAAUGACACAUUUACAUUCAGGGACAAGUUGGUUCAUCUUGACCCUCCGCUGUUAGUUACUGAUUGACUGGGGACCUGAUAUGAGUGAUGUUUUGUAACAAAGAUCCUUGCUGUCUUUUUCAAAAAGCGAUUUAUCAACUACAGUAUGUACAGUGGCAGAGCUGAGCUUUGGGAACGUUACACGUGUCACAUGGAAAGCAGUGGCAUAGUGGUGUUAAGUAACUUCACAGUAUAUUUUAGAAGCCUGAGUGUUGGACAUACAGGAUGGUAUAUUUUAGAAGCCUGAGUGUUGGACAUACAGGAUGAUCAUGGUCAGCUGGAAUGGAAUGACCCUAAACAUUGACCCAGAUAAAGGCUCUAUCCCAAAUGGCACCCUAUUCCCUACAUAGUACACUACAUUUAACCAGAGCCCUGUGGUCACAAGUAGUGUACUUUGACUGCUUGCAUCCCAAAUAGCACCCUAUCUUCUACUAUCUCCACGUUAUCGCGUUAUCUAUGAGAACUUACUAACCCUACCCUCCCUCUGGUUAUUUUCCCCACGUAGUACUGCCUGACUCACUCACAGCCUGUGACUAAAUCAAUGGCUUCACUAGCUGCUGAGGCUCAGUGACAUCACAAUGGCAGGUUGUGUUCUAAAUGGCUUCCCCUCACUAGCUGCUGAGGCUCAGUGACAUCACAAUGGCAGGUUGUGUUCUAAAUGGCUUCCCCUCACUAGCUGCUGAGGCUCAGUGACAUCACAAUGGCAGGUUGUGUUCUAAAUGGCUUCCCCUCACUAGCUGCUGAGGCUCAGUGACAUCACAAUGGCAGGUUGUGUUCUAAAUGGCUUCCCCUCACUAGCUGCUGAGGCUCAGUGACAUCACAAUGUCAGGGCUGUGUUCUAAAUGGCUUCCCCUCACUAGCUGCUGAGGAUCAGUGACAUCACAAUGGCAGGGUGUGUUCUAAAUGACACCCUCUUUCCUAUAUAUAGUGUACUACUUUUCAACAGGGCCCAUAGGGCUAUAGUCAAAAGUAUUGCACCACAUAAGGAAAAGGGUGCAAUUUUGGAUGCAGUGUAUGUAUGAGGACAUUCAGUCCCCAAUGACAACCUCAGUCCAUCCAAGCCCUUCACAGCAUCUCUCCACACACACACAGACUUAGACCAACAAAGAAGUCUCCUGGUCUCAGUGUAGUGGACUACAGAGCUAAAUAGGAAGGGGGGUUGAGGGUUGAGUCCCAAAUGGGUACCCUAGUCACAGAGACGGAGAUAUAUCAAACGAUCAACAGGGACUGCUGGCCGCCACCACCUGAUCAUUGAGGUAAAUUGAGCAUGGAAGGGUCUGCUGAUGAUCACUUCCAUUUUAUACUGAACAAAAAAAUGUAUGCAACGUGUUGGUCCCAUGUUUAAUGAGCUGAAAUAAACGAUCCCAGAAAUGUUCCAUUCGCACAAAAAGCUUUUUUUCUCUCUUAACAUUUUCUGCCCAAAUUUGUUUCCAUCCCUGUUUAGUGAGCAUUUCUCCUUUGCCAAGAUAAUCCAUCCACCUGACAGGUAUGGCAUAUCAAGAAGCUGAUUAAACAGCAUGAUCAAUACACAGGUGCACCUUGUGCUGGGGACAAUAAAAUUCCCUAUUUAAAAUGUGCAGUUUUGUCACACAACACAAUGCCACAGAUGUCUCAAGUUUUGAGGGAGCGUGCAACUGGCAAGCUGACUGCAGGAAUGUCCACCAGAGAUGUUGCCAGAGAACUGGGUGUUAAUUUCUCUACCAGAAGCGGCUUACAACAAUUUUUUGAGAAUUUGGCAGUAUGUCCAACCGGCCUCACAACCUCAGACCACGGUUAACCACGCCAGCCCAGGACCUCCACAUCCGGCUUCUUCACCCGUGGGAUCGUCUGAGACCAGCCACCCGGACAGCUGAUGA